UACGUAGGGACCAAGCGUUGUUCGGAUUUAUUGGGCGUAAAGGGCGCGUAGGCGGUUUGACAAGUCUGAUGUGAAAUCUCUGGGCUCAACCCAGAGUCUGCAUUAGAAACUGUCGGGCUUGAGUAUGGGAGAGGUGAGUGGAAUUUCCGGUGUAGCGGUGAAAUGCGUAGAUAUCGGAAGGAACACCUGUGGCGAAAGCGGCUCACUGGACCAUAACUGACGCUGAGGCGCGAAAGCUAGGGGAGCAAACAGG
RNAcentral lists this ribosomal RNA (253 nucleotides) under uncultured bacterium. Its description in RNAcentral is "partial 16S ribosomal RNA". It matches the Rfam family "Bacterial small subunit ribosomal RNA", at positions 524 to 776 of the family's 1533-position model. The record is from RNAcentral.